AGUUAAUACAACAAUACAGGGGUUUUUCGUAUCAGAGUCACGCAUGAAUGAGAAAUUGAAUUAAAGCUUCUCACCCGUUGUAACUUGCAUAUCGUAUGAAAUUUGUAUCGCAAGUCUUUACUUGUCAGUAAGUUUUUUAAAAUGUUAAAUAUACUGUUCAUACUUUUUAAAUUAGUAGUUAUACUUCAUAAAUGGCAUACUGAAGGUGAAGUUACAAAAAGUUGAGUGAAAAAAGACACCGAGUGUGAUACAAAUCAUGUAUCAAUCUGUAGAUCGGGAUGUAAAUUUUAUGGAAAAUCUGCUAAUGAUGGAUUGUGCUUCCAGUGCUAGAAAGAUGUUAAAAGAAAGCAGUGUACAUCUAACACUGAAUUCAUUGGACAUCUUAGUACAAAUGUUACUGGUGGAAUUAAUGUUGAAGCUGGUUCAUCACAGGAGAAAGUUUUAAGUUCUGCAUCACCCUCUCUAACCUUAGCUGCAUCUGUUAUUAGUCAAGAGCCAGAAAAUGCAACUUUAAAGCACCAACACAAAUGUAAUGAAAGUUGUUCCAUAAGAGCUUACUCUUCCAGUAGUGAGCGUGAAGUCCAAACAUCAGGUCGACCCAGUAAGUCAUCCAUUAAAGAUAAGAAACACGAGAGCAAAUAUCUCAUUUGGUGCAAGGAAGUUGGACUCGCAGGUUUCUCUUGUAGAUGUGGGGUGAUCUUUUUUGCAGUUUAUAUAGAUACUCAGAUGAACAUAAUUGUUUGUUUGACUAUAAAAUGAUGGGAGCUGAAGAAAUCAGAAAAAAUAAUUCUAUCAUCAUUGAAGAUAAAGUUAAAAACUACGAAGUAAAGAAUGCACUACAGUUGAAUUGGUGAAGAGGAAGAGAGAUGUGGAAUCGGUUUUUAUACAUAAAAACACCUCAUUUUGCAUUCCUAUGAAACUUGAAAAUUAUGUAUUUACAUUGAAAUACAAUGUAUUCUAUAAAGAAAACUAAUACCUAAAGCUUAGACAUCAAGAAACUUGUACUAUUGGAAAAAAAUAACAUAAAUUUGUGUAAAUGUUGUAUAUAUGCUCUUUCAUGGAAUCGAAAUAUUUGAAUUUUUUUUUUAAGUUGAGUUUAAUAACAAUUGAAUAGUUUAGAUAUUUUUGUAGUGACAGUUUGCCCUAAUGGAUCUUGAGUCAUGUGUCAUUAAGUUUUGUUAUAGUAAUUCCUGUGCAAAACAAGUUACUCAUUGUAUGUCCUGAAGUUGCAGUUUGUAGUAGUUUAUUGUAGAUUAGAAUUAUUACUUUGUAGUAGUUUAUUGUAGAUUGGAGUUAUUACUUUGUAGUAGUUUAUUGUAGAUUGGAAUUAUUACUUUGUAGUAGUUUAUUGUAGAUUGGAAUUAUUACUUUGUAGUAGUUUAUUGUAGAUUGGAAUUAUUACUUUGUAGUAG
Limulus polyphemus (Atlantic horseshoe crab) is the source of this 1412-nucleotide long non-coding RNA. RefSeq lists it as uncharacterized. The record is from RefSeq and is a predicted model, not a curated record. Lineage: Eukaryota; Metazoa; Arthropoda; Merostomata; Xiphosura; Limulidae. The transcript is spliced from 5 exons.